Molecule: ribosomal RNA, 351 nt
Filed under: uncultured Streptococcus sp.
Lineage: Bacteria; Bacillati; Bacillota; Bacilli; Lactobacillales; Streptococcaceae
Description: bacterial SSU rRNA
Rfam family: Bacterial small subunit ribosomal RNA
Source: RNAcentral
CGGUGACAGGUGGUGCAUGGUUGUCGUCAGCUCGUGUCGUGAGAUGUUGGUUAAGUCCCGCAACGAGCGCAACCCCUAUUGUUAGUUGCCAUCAUUCAGUUGGGCACUCUAGCGAGACUGCCGGUAAUAAACCGGAGGAAGGUGGGGAUGACGUCAAAUCAUCAUGCCCCUUAUGACCUGGGCUACACACGUGCUACAAUGGUUGGUACAACGAGUUGCGAGUCGGUGACGGCGAGCUAAUCUCUUAAAGCCAAUCUCAGUUCGGAUUGUAGGCUGCAACUCGCCUACAUGAAGUCGGAAUCGCUAGUAAUCGCGGAUCAGCACGCCGCGGUGAAUACGUUCCCGGGCCUU